This 577-nucleotide small RNA is filed under the name human gut metagenome. The record is from RNAcentral.
AUAUAUAUCAGUGGUGCAUUAUUCUAGUCAUACAAACUUUACGAGGGUGGGGCUAAAAAUCCACUAAAGAGCACAUCGUUGAAGUUUCUUAGUAUUGCGCGAAAUGCCAGUUUUGUGUGGUAUUAGGGAGUAAAGAGAUUAGGGUAUUAUAUAAUGGCAUAUAUAAAACUCCCUGAUUUCGUGGAGACUUAAAUAAUCAUUUGAGUAUAACCUAUGUUGAGUGCCAAGACACGAAAUACAUAGUGUAGCUUGUCUUGAGUGAAUAUAUUGGGAUUAAUACAAAAAGAAAAUAAACUUAUUUGGCCAAAUAAAUUUAUUUUAUAUUAUGAAACUAUAUUUGCAAAAAAGACUAGUAAAGGGAAUUUGUGUGUUAAGGAAAACUUCUAGAAUGUUUGCCAAAAUAUGGCAAGGAAGUUUUAGGAUUAAGGUACAGAUUUAAGUGGUAAUCUGGUAGCUAUUGAAAUAUAUAGAUGUUCUUCUUAAACGGAAACGGUUCUAACAGUAAUGUUAAGCGAAGGAUAGAGAAAUUCAACCAGACCUAAACUGUAAAAUUUACUUAAACUUUUACCAUUAAAGA